Molecule: long non-coding RNA, 738 nt
Organism: Harpia harpyja (harpy eagle)
Lineage: Eukaryota; Metazoa; Chordata; Aves; Accipitriformes; Accipitridae
Exons: 3
Source: RefSeq, a predicted model, not a curated record
CUGAAGCUGGAGAGGCUACAGAAUGCUAAAGCUGCUGAAGAAUAAAAUAAAGAGGAUCCAGCCACCAGCUGCAGACAGGAGAUAGCCUGCCUCUCCAGGUGGAUGACAGUCAAGUGAGUGCAGCUACAGAGGAGGAAGGGAGAGGGAGAGAGAGACAGACAUGUCUGAACUGUCAAAUUCUCCCAGCAGCUCCAACAGCGGGAGAAGCUGUCAGUCCUGCAGACACCAAGGUCAGUGAAGAAGAAAAAGGAGGUGGUGAUCCAGGUCCUAAAGCAGAGAUUCCCCUGCAGCCUGCAGUGAAGACCAUGGUGACACAGGCUGUCCCCCUGCAGCCCACGGAGGUCCAUGGCGGAGCAGAUAUGCACCCUGCAGCCGAUGGAGGACCCCUCGCCAGAGCAGGCGGAUUCACCCAAAGGAGGCUGUGACGCUGUGGAGAGGAGCCCACACUGGAGCAGGUUUUCUGGCAGGACCUGCGGCCCCAUGGGAGUGACACCACACUGGAACAGAAGAAGAGCACAAAGAAGGAAGGAGCAGCAGAGACAACUUGUGAUGAACUGACUGCAACCCCCCGCUCCUUCUCCCCCUGUGCUGCUCGGUAGGAGGAGGUAGAGAAGUCAGGAGUGAAGAUGAGCCCAGGAAAAAAAGAGAGGGGUGGGGGGAAGGUGUUUUUCAGAUUUGUUCAUAUUUCUCAUUAUUGUACUCUGAUUUUGACUGACAAUAAAUUAAUUUCCCCAAGUC